Malassezia caprae is the source of this 103-nucleotide non-coding RNA. NCBI's taxonomy places the organism in Eukaryota, Fungi, Basidiomycota, Malasseziomycetes, Malasseziales, Malasseziaceae. The record is from the annotation of a GenBank genome assembly.
GCCCGCUUAGCUCAGUGGUAGAGCGCGUCACUAGUACCUCCUGCGAAAGGCAGACGGCCGUCAGGCCAUGACGAGGUCGGUUGUUCGAUCCAGCCAGUGGGCA